This is a transfer RNA of Hypholoma sublateritium FD-334 SS-4, 74 nucleotides long. It matches the Rfam family "tRNA". From Rfam's summary of the family: Transfer RNA (tRNA) molecules are approximately 80 nucleotides in length. Their secondary structure includes four short double-helical elements and three loops (D, anti-codon, and T loops). The record is from Rfam. Lineage: Eukaryota; Fungi; Basidiomycota; Agaricomycetes; Agaricales; Strophariaceae.
GACUGGAUAGCUCAGUGGUUAGAGCAUCCCCCCUAGUUUGGGAAAGGUCCUUGGUUCAAACCCAGGUCUAGUCA